Molecule: long non-coding RNA, 3242 nt
Organism: Siniperca chuatsi (mandarin fish)
Lineage: Eukaryota; Metazoa; Chordata; Actinopteri; Centrarchiformes; Sinipercidae
Exons: 3
Source: RefSeq, a predicted model, not a curated record
GGAUUAAUGAGGUUGUGCAACAAUGUAGAAGAAGUCAUGCCAUCAGCAAGGUAAACUUGAGCUUAGUGAAGAACUGAGAACUUGAAUCGCAGACCUAUGGGGAAGAGAUUUAAAGCUCAGCCCUCACGUGCUGAAGAUACAAACUCAACUCGCUAUGGUUACUGUCAGCCAAACAACAGUCAACAGUGCAGUGAACCUGAGGUAGGGUAUCCAUAGCCUGCCAGACCAAACCGCAUGUGAGCUUGCUCGUAUCUGCACUGCAUCAACCCCUGCUCAGGCUAAUUUUAUUCACCUCUGAGAGUAAGUUCUCUCUGCUCUCUCCUGUUGUUGUCUUUUGAAAGGGAGCUACGCUGCUAAAUCAGCAGAUCUGCAGAACACUUGAUUCCAAGCUCUAUGCUCAGCAUCCCAAAGUAAAUGUUCCCAAGAAGCUUCUACUACUGAGACCCUGAUUAUCAUAGUCAUGGCAUUCAAUUUUGGAUCACGUACAGUAUGAAUCAACGAUGAAUAAUAUCUUUCCAGCAAGCAAGAGAAAUAUUUAACAAUAAUAUUUCUAAGAAAAGUUGUGCUCAUACUUCAGACAUUUCCUCCUGACCAGUCUGUUGGAUGGAUAGAAAGUACUGUAUCUGUGUUUAGGCUCAUUUUGUGCUGUAGGAAAUUUACAGCAGGUGAAGACAAGAGGAGCUUUAUCCUGCUGCUCUCGUCUCUGCUGUCUCCAUCUAGGGCCAGUGAGCAGGGAAAUAUCUUAUUAAAGUUUCCCCUCUCAUCCGCCUGACACAGCUCAAGUCCGGCUAUGAGGGGCUCCUUCACCAACACCUCUACGUGAAAGACAGUGUGCACAUUAUGCAGCUCUGUCGUGGAGGUCGGAUGGAAAAUUUUGCUAGGUCUGAGCUGUGCUUUCUUUGGCACCGGUGGCCUCUGGGCCAAAGCUUAUUCAUCUGUGAACUGACAGCUUCACCUUAGCCCAGGAAACUGAGGAGCUGGAUUCCCCGGAUCGCCGAUCUACUGGGGGAAUGUUCAUGAAAUGUUCUUGAAUGAUUUACCUUGUAAUGUAAGGUCAAAUGUUUUGAGGAAAUUGCCUUUGUGUGCCCUUUUGCCUUUAUAUGAUAAAAUUUGCCUCACAAGGUGUGUUAAACAUAUACUUCCUGGUUAGCAUAAACCAGAACUUGCUAAAAUGCUUAAAAAGUUGUGUAUGUUCUUUUUUUCCUCAUGUUUUUCACUGUCCUACCAAACCAUGGCAUCAAAGUCAAAGAGACAGAAUUUAGCAAUUAGGCUUUUUCUGUUUUUGUCAAGAAAGCAACUGGUUGGGAAAUUACAAGGCAGCAGGUAGUGGCAACACCCGUGUCACCUCCCUCUCUCUGCUAACGUCACGUAUUUGGCAAUCGCUCCCCUGUUUUCAGUAACACCAGUUUGGCUGCACAAAAAAUAUUUGUACAAAAGUAACAUUCUUUUCUCAUUCAUUUUUCUGUGAAUUUAUCUUAAGAGAGAUUCAAGCAAAAAAAAACAUGAAGCCAAGAUAAGCAAAGCUGUGACUUGCUAGUAAAACAAGUGCAAUAUUGUUCUGCUUGUGAGUCUGUGGGUGUCACAAUGAGUUGCCUGACUGUGUUGCUGUACGGUAUCAUUGUGGUAUUAACAUGGACUAUCAGAGGCAGUUGGAGUCAAGGUCUCUUCAGGUCAAGCUUCCACCUUGGCCCUGUGGUAAUGAGAAACAGUCUACCAGGACUAUUUCUACCUUCCAUCUCUAGUAUUUUCUCGUCUGCCCUCAGGCUCCUAGAGAAGAUUAAAGCCAGAAACAAGACAAGACACCCUGCGUCUACUGGUAGUCAGCACACUGUUCAAGUUGUGCAAUUCAAAAACAGAUGCAGUGAUUUGCUGUCUAGGCCUUGAAAUAAUAAUAAUCAGUCUUACAUAAUACAAACCUCUAUACAGUGAGGGCACAAAGCCAACUGGUCACUCAAACAAACAAAAAUUCACUCUGUAUUUCAUAAGGAGCUGUGAACCCAGAGUCAGAGAACAUGGAGGCAGUAUUCAGGGUGUAACAUAUGUUGAGUAUUUAUAUUGGAUUUCAUAAAACACUGGUAUUUCCUGGUAUUUUGUGUCCGAGAGCUUUGGCAUCUCUACAGAAAUUCUUCUAAUAUGUUACACAACAUGUUACAGUGCUGUGGUUGCAAGUUUGCUUGGGGUCCGUGCCUGUCAAAAUGAAGGCUGUCAUCAAGUCAAUGAUGUACCAUUGCAGGUAUAAGCAUAGUAAUUACCUUGACAGCAAAGGUCUUCAUUACUCAUACUUGGAGGUUGUACUUUUCAGCUCAGCAUAUGCAAACUCUUUAGCACUAAUGCUGGGAUUUUCCAAUGGCGGCUGCAUCUGCCAUGACAUGGCUUUUCUUGCGUGGGGAAACGUUCAUGUCUCCUCUAACAUCUGGUUUUACGACGGCUUCAGAUGCCUGGCUGGUUGCGGUUGUUUACGUACAUUCUGAGGCCUUUGAGGGAUUCAAUUGACCCGCUAAAUGACAGAAGUAGAAUCAAACCAAGAUAAUUAUUUGCAUAUGAAAUUAGCUUGCCAACACAAGUACAUUUGAUGCAGGAUGUGUUAGGAGGGAGGUGAUCUUGUUUUCUCUAAACAAGAUGGCACGUGGGUGUUUGGGGGAAGCCUGCCAUAAGCCUCCAUAUGGUCUUGUUCUGACUUACCCUUCAUGUGUCUACACUGAAGGGCCCAUAGGGACAGAGCGUCAGGGCGAGGAGGCAACUGCUGAGGGUUGGUUGAGUUCAAGAGGCUGCAUGUAUGGGUAAUCACUACUGUCCUGCUCUUUCAGGCGGUUGCUUCAACACUGCUGUUGAACUACAUAUCUUUAAUGUAACUAGACAGAGGGAGAGAACUCAUCUAUUGUUCAGCACUGAACAAAGUUUGCCAGCGGGUUGCAAGCGCGUGUUUUAUAACCUCAUCUCACCAUACAUUCUGGCUGACGAUAGCGUGGCUCUAAGACCGAAGCCCUGUCUCCUCACUUGAAACAGCUGAUUUAUGUCUGGUCCUGGACACUUGUGCUCUGUGGCUGGAAUGCAGGGAAUUUCAAAGACCCCUCCUCUGCCUGUCCCGUCCACAUGCAAACAAAUGGAGCAGGCGCCUGGUUGGGCAGAUGAAGGCCCACCGGUGCUCCCACUGCAGGGCAGAGAGGCAGAAUGUAAGGAAUGUCAGAGGCGAGAAAAUAAAUCCAUUCUAUCCUUUUUUCUGUCAAUCUGUAGCUCUUUCU